RNAcentral lists this long non-coding RNA (1585 nucleotides) under Podarcis lilfordi (Lilford's wall lizard). Lineage: Eukaryota; Metazoa; Chordata; Lepidosauria; Squamata; Lacertidae. The record is from RNAcentral.
GGGGUGGGGGGCACAGGAAGUCAAGGUCUGAUGCCCAGCCGGGUGCAGGGACUGAUGGAUAUUGGCCUUGGACCAAAGAUGGAAAUGUUUGGGGCUUUUUGGUUUAGGAAAAAGGGGGUGGGGAUAUAAAGGUUUAGAAAAUAAAUAAUGAUGUAAAGAAAGUGAAUGGAGGUACCUUUUAUCUCUCUCAAAACACCAGAAGCCUGAGUCAGUACAGACAAUAGGAGACACUUCUACACAAAGCAUAGAGUUAAACUUCUAGAUGUGAUCAACAUAUUGUUCAUAGAUUAAGCCAGCAGUGGCUACUAGGGCUCAUCCGCACUGGAAUUUAAUGUGGAUUUGAAGCGGAUUUUGUCUCUGUUUUCCCCGCAGUGCCAAUAUAACAUCCUUCUCAUCAAGUGGCAGCCCACAUUUCCCCCUGCUAAAUUAUGAUUUCCUCAAACCAUGGAUAAUCCGAUAAAGGGAAGAAAAUCCAAUGUAAAACAACAUAUUACCAACUGUAGCACAUUGUAUGAGUCAGCUUUUUUUACAUUCAUGGUAGCAUUUCACUGGGCGCCAUCUAUCGCCACACCCCCUGCUUCCAUUUUGUCUCUGUUAAGGAAAAUUCUGGGUUGAGAGACUACUCAACAGCCCAGCUCCUCAGGGUACAAUUCCCCCGCGGGUCCAUGCGGUCAGUAAAAGAAGGAAAUUCCAGCCAAGCAAUUUGGAGCAAAACAGUAGACUUAGAUCCUUUACUGUUGCGCAACAGGUUCAACAGCAGCAAGUGAACGCAGAGCAUGGGGCGACAUUGGUUUUUAAAACUUUCCCACCAUAUCCCAGAAUACAGUUUGCACAGCAUCAUCAGUACAUCAUUGCUACAUCACUGACAUGUCACAAAAGGGGAGGGCCACACAAUAUUAGCAUAGACAGAUGUGUCAGGGCAACACCCAAGUAUAAGAUUAGCAUAGGCAAACAUGUCUUAAGUACCCACCACCCAAAGUACAAUAGAACUUCCUUUGCAUGUCUGGAGCAAUUGUCACCUCUGGGCAUUUCCUGGGGUAGGAAGUUUGUAUACAUGUCUUCAAGCUUGGGGAAGUGGCAGGAGAAGGAGUCCUUUUUCCAAGGGCAAAAUGGCGUUGGAAUGGAGGAACUUGGCAAAGAGGUUGAUUUUAUAUGAUUCAUAAAGCUAGGUAUUAGGACGGUUCAUUAAAAACUUUUUUUUGAAAAUGCUUGCUCCAAAGGUCUUAUUUUACUACACUAGGGAUUAUCUAGCUAUAUCUGAAAUUUCAUGCAUAUCAGUUAAUAUCUUGAAUUGAAAUUUCAGCCUUCAUGACAUAGGAAAACGGCCAAGUAAACAGCUAUUUUCGUGGAGGAGGGUCAAAACAAAUACCUGUGCACUUACCCGCAAAAGACCUUGGGUUCCCCUAAAUUAUGGUGGGUGGGGAGGUAUUCCCGGAGGGGAGGGGACAACAGGACACAACAUGAAUACAUCCCCAAGCACCACACACACUGAGAUAGAUUUCAGUGGUAUAAAAUCGAAAGCACUCAGGUUUGUCAAUGCGCACACAGGAACACAUUGACACAGCCCCAGGAAGGAAUAAACCCA